This 1136-nucleotide long non-coding RNA is filed under the name Helianthus annuus (common sunflower). Its description in RNAcentral is "sRNA HanXRQr2_Chr01g0006881". Lineage: Eukaryota; Viridiplantae; Streptophyta; Magnoliopsida; Asterales; Asteraceae. The record is from RNAcentral.
UCUCCAUUCCAGCAACUGAUUAUUUGUUACAUCCAAUCUAUUACAAUCUCAAACCCUAAAUCUCUGUCGCUUAUGACUUUGAAGAUUUCAAGCUGGCCGAUUUCAUAUAUUGAUUUCAUAUGGAUCGUGACCAUUUCUUUUGGAUCAUCGGACGACGACUCGGGCGAUUCCUGAGGCUGAAGACAACAACGGCAAGAGGCACUCCAGCGGCGCGAUUAGGGUUUCGCUGUGAACCCUAACAACAGUGGCAGCGGCGCAUUUUAUUCUUGAAGAUUUGAUUUUUUCCAAUGUAUCAAACCGUUUGUGUUCUUCUAAUCCGUCUCUUGCUCUAAUUGUUUAUUUGUUUUUUUAUUUUCUUCAGGUGCAAUCCAAGUUAAGUUUGUGAAAAUUUAGUCAUAAAAUUAAGCAUCAAUUUUGUUAUUAGAGAAGGCUUGCAUUUGGCUUUAUUUCAUGUAUGGAAACAAGCUUUGUGAUGACAAAGUUCCUUAUCUGAUUCACCAUACAUAUACUAUUUGAAGUGAAAAGCUCCACCUUCAAGAUCGUUCAUAGCAUUCAAAACCUGGUAAGGACCGACAUUGGGUUCAGAUGACUGUGGUAUUGGGCUUUCUCGGCUUCAAUGACGCAGAUACUAGAGAGGCUGCCAGCAUUUGGUGAAUUUAGAUAAUUUAUUUUGUGGACAAAGCCAUCCCGGAAGAACCGAUAGAGUAUAUUUGAAGGUUUUGACUGCGUUGGCAGCUGCUGUGAUCACAUUUGGAUAUGUCUGCUUUGGCGGAUCUGAAUAAGUUUGAGGCGAAUUUAUUGGUGAAUUCGGUAUUGGAUUGGCUGCUUAGUUCGGUUCUGCUGCUCUCAGGUGACAUAAUGUGAAUCAGCGAUUGAAAUAGAAGUGAACACAUGACUAUGAUCAACCAAUCGAAUGGAUCACGAUCAAAGAAGGAAUUUCAAGACAGUGUUAUGAAAGCUAAGAAUCCGAACGAAGAGAUGAUCAAGAUAUGAAAAGAAAUAGUCGAUUUCAAUGUAAUGCCUCAUUGAAUAUAUUUUGUUACAGUCUUGAGAAUUUGCCAUAUCAUAUUGGAAAUUUUUAAUCAUUAUGCAUUUAUUUUGAUAUCAUUCAAUGGUCAGUUUCACUUGGUUUGUAU